Molecule: RNA transcript, 12435 nt
Organism: Pseudopipra pipra
Lineage: Eukaryota; Metazoa; Chordata; Aves; Passeriformes; Pipridae
Gene: WDR20
Gene name: WD repeat domain 20
Exons: 4
Source: RefSeq, a predicted model, not a curated record
UGCGCAGUGUGGGCACAUCCGGGCACUGGGGCAGGAUGAGCGCUCCUUUCCAAGAUGGCGGCGGAGGGAGGAGGGAAGGAGAUGAACGAGAUUAAGACCCAGUUCACCACCCGGGAGGGGCUGUACAAGCUGCUGAGCCACUCGGAGUACAGCCGGCCCAACCGCGUGCCCUUCAACUCGCAGGGCUCCAACCCCGUCCGUGUCUCCUUCGUCAACGUCAACGACCAGAGCGGGAACGGGGACCGGCUCUGCUUCAAUGUGGGCCGAGAGCUCUACUUCUACAUCUACAAGGGGGUCCGCAAGGCUGCGGACUUGAGUAAACCAAUAGACAAAAGGAUAUACAAAGGAACACAGCCUACAUGCCAUGACUUCAAUCACUUAACAGCCACAGCAGAAAGUGUGUCUCUUCUAGUGGGCUUCUCCGCAGGCCAGGUCCAGCUUAUAGACCCUAUUAAAAAAGAAACUAGCAAAUUAUUUAAUGAGGAAAGACUAAUAGACAAGUCCAGAGUAACCUGUGUAAAAUGGGUACCGGGUUCGGAAAGCCUUUUCCUAGUAGCUCAUUCCAGUGGCAAUAUGUACUUGUAUAACGUGGAGCACACUUGUGGUACCACAGCCCCGCACUACCAGCUACUUAAACAAGGAGAGAGUUUUGCAGUGCACACUUGCAAGAGUAAAUCCACAAGAAACCCUCUGCUUAAAUGGACAGUAGGUGAGGGUGCCCUGAAUGAAUUUGCCUUUUCCCCUGAUGGGAAGUUCUUGGCGUGCGUGAGCCAGGAUGGUUUUCUUCGCGUGUUUAACUUUGAUUCGGUGGAAUUGCAUGGUACAAUGAAAAGCUACUUUGGAGGACUGCUGUGUGUGUGUUGGAGUCCCGAUGGGAAGUACAUAGUGACAGGCGGAGAGGAUGACUUGGUGACAGUUUGGUCUUUCGUGGACUGUCGAGUCAUAGCGAGAGGCCACGGACACAAAUCGUGGGUCAGUGUCGUUGCGUUCGAUCCAUAUACCACUAGUGUAGAAGAGAGUGACCCGAUGGAAUUUAGCGGAAGUGAUGAGGAUUUCCAAGACCUCCAUUUUGGCAGAGACCGAGCCAAUAGCACGCAAUCUAGAUUAUCCAAAAGGAACUCUACAGACAGUCGUCCAGUAAGUGUUACAUAUAGAUUUGGUUCAGUAGGCCAGGACACACAGCUCUGUUUGUGGGAUCUUACAGAAGAUAUCCUCUUCCCCCACCAACCUCUCUCAAGAGCAAGGACACAUACAAAUGUCAUGAAUGCCACAAGUCCACCUGCAGGAAGUGGUGGAACUAACCCGGGAAGUAAUGGAAACAGUAUCACAACACCUGGAAACUCUGUACCCCCUCCUCUUCCACGAUCAAACAGCCUUCCACACUCUGCAGUCUCAAAUGCUGGCAGUAAAAGCAGUGUCAUGGAUGGUGCCAUUGCUUCUGGCGUUAGUAAAUUUGCAACCUUAUCGCUACAUGAUCGGAAGGAAAGACACCAUGAAAAAGAUCACAAGAGAAACCAUAGCAUGGGACAUAUAUCUAGCAAGAGCAGUGACAAACUGAACCUAGUUACUAAAACCAAAACGGACCCAGCUAAAACUUUGGGAACACCUCUCUGUCCCCGAAUGGAAGAUGUUCCCUUGUUAGAGCCUCUUAUCUGUAAAAAGAUAGCACAUGAAAGACUGACUGUGUUAAUUUUUCUUGAAGACUGUAUAGUCACUGCUUGUCAGGAGGGAUUUAUUUGCACAUGGGCAAGGCCUGGUAAAGUGGUAAGUUUUAAUCCUUAAUGCUGCAUCAAAGAACUAGAACUCUGAAUAGAUAGUUUUCUUGAAAUAUAAAUGAAUGUUGAAUAUAAAAUUUCUUUAUGCUUAAUGUAAAAAAAAAUAUCCUCAGAGCCAUACUUUUGGAUACUGCAUGCCAUAUUUCUGAAUGAUUUGAAGUGUCUUGGAUACAAUUAUUAAGUAUAGUUGCCUUCCAGCAGAAGAAAUAAAUACUGUGCAUCUAAACUAUUGAUCAGUGUUCUUAUACUUAAGCAUAACCACAAUAUGGUGAAAGCUGUUUAUGUAAAAAUUGAAGUAAAACCUGUCAAACACUAAAAUAAUUAUAAUCCUUCUAACUUUUUCUACAAAAUACAGCACUCCCAAUGAGAGUAGCUUACGAAAAGCUGCUGCUUUUAAGUCUAAUGAGAAAUGUGAGCCUCUGAAAAAAUUAAAGCCAAAGUGUUUUAUUCCUUCAUACUUUUCUGUGGUGGCCUGCCAUUAAUGUGAAACCACUUCUUAUUCAAACAUCAGGCAUUUUAUGCACAGAUUUGUGAGCCCUGUACUGACUGUAGCUUAUGUUCUUGAAAUUGUGAAUCAGUAUUAUCAAGAAACUCUAAUUUUAGCCAGGUAUUGAUUUAUGUAUUUAAGUUAGAUAAAAUCCUGCAGGCUUUCUCUGAGUAGUUUCAGUGUUUUGUUCCUGUCAGGUUUUAGGCAAUUUGAUCAUCGACAAGCUCGUGCUUUUGAUGGCACCUGUUCCAUCAAUUGAACCUACAUUAAAAUCUAUUACUAGUUCUAACUCUUCUUGUUAAUGCACUUGAACACCUAUAAAACUUUAUUUUUCCUUCUGUCCAAUGUAUAGCGAGCUAAAUUUUUAAUGAAGCUAAAUGUGGUGAUUCUUUUGUUAAAAAGUACUUUGUGCUACAGUAGCUCUGUCUGCCAGCAACAGUUCAAAGGAAUACAGCUAUGAAAACAUUACCAGAGUUGGUCUGGCAAAAAGGACCAUUAUUUUGGUGAAAAUUUCUGAAAGGGGAUGUAGAUUAUCACGUGAAGUAAAAGAGAUUAUCUGGUAAUACCUGAAUAUUGCCAUGUUGGGCAACCUAAAUGAAAAUCUGUUGUUCGUUAGUUUUUAACCACUUGGUUCAUAAAUCUGACUUCUGAAGUGGAGGUACUGUAUAUAUUUAGAUACCACAUCUUCAUUGCUAUAAACUUCCAAGUAAAACUCAAUUUUUCUUAGAACUGUUUGUAUAAUGUAGGUUUCUUUGAGAUGUUAUCAAAUUUGUCACAACAUAGGUGUAUGCAUAGAGAGCUGUGUCUGCUCUGCAUCUUAAUGCAUAUUUAAAGGUUGAAUCUAAAACUAAAAGUUGUAAACCCUUCUCUGGGGAGAAGGGAGGAGGGUGUUACCUAAAAGUAUUUUUUUGUCUCAGAACUAGAGAUCCAGCAUUAAUGAAGGGGAAAAAAAAAAGAGCAUCCCCUCAGAAUACUAAACUGUUUAAAACAUUUGUCCUAAAUGAAAAUACUAAAGCAGUUAUACUUUUGUGACUCAGUGCACUUCACAUCUUAUGAAUUAACUUUAGAUGCUUACAGCAGUGCCUCAGAUUGCUAUUGUGAGCUAUAUUUUCUUUUGGUUCUAAAAUUCCUUUGUAUACUACUAAACACUACAUUGUUACAUUUAUUUUCAGUGGCUGAGGUGGGUUUUGUUAGACUGAGUAUAACUUAAAUAUUUUUGUGUAUUGACUUUGAUUUGGAAUAUGACAUUUCAAAUAUUUCAGAGAUAAAGUAUGCAGUACCAAAAAUCAGGAUUUAUGUAUUGGCCAAUAUGGAAAACUUUAAUUACAGCGGCUCCAUUUUACGUGAAUGAAAGUUGCUGAUGAGUUCCCUGUGUGAGAAAGCUCGAGGUAAGAUUGGCCAGAAGCACCCCCAGGAGAAAUGGCAGUGUAUAACCUAGCAAGAGAAACAUGCUACCACUUUGUAAAACAAAUGCACAUGGAAUUUAUUUAUUUGACUUAUUGUACAGGAAAACUUAGACUUAAAUUAUAACAUCCUUGAAUUUUCUAGUUAACUACAAUUGUAGUACAGUAUCAUGUUUUAGUAUGACUUCUGUUUUAGUGAAAGUACUUAAACAUUAUUUGAGUGAGAUGAGCAGCUAUACAUACUAAUUCUUCCUCAAUGGAAAGGAGCAUUUCAUCAUUACAAUUGAAGUUCAAUUGCUGGUAUUUAAGUACUAUCAAAUAGAUUUCUUUCAACGUGAUACGGUAUCUGUAUAAACUUCAGGGAUGAUUAUAGUAAAACUGAAACACAGCUAUACGACAUCAGGUUACCAUGCUAAAAUUUGAAGCUUUCUGUAAUGUGCAUAAUAGCAAAGUUGCACAUGGCCUACCCCCAUUAUCAGGGUGAAUUAAAGCCUAGUACACUGGUGUGAUAUUUAUAGCGAGGUAUGUGUGUGUGUGUGAGUGAGGAGGUGUGAAUAGUGGCUCCAGUAAAGCCAGGAGAGAUCAUAACCCUGUAAAGGCUUUAUGAUAGGAUGUCUGGACUAGGAAAUAACAUGACUUUUACUAAACACUUUCUAGAAAACCCAUGUUCUGAAUUAUCACCUCUUAAAAUUUGAGUAUGUACUUGGAAUGACUGUAUAUGUCUGCCCCUUUAACAACAUAAAGCUACUAAAUUAAUAUUUAAAAUGCUGGCCUGCUUAUGUUACAAUAAUAAAAUUUGUGUCAGUUAAUUUACUGUCAAUUUACAUGUAAAGAUUAAACUAUUUUUUCUGCAUUUUAUGAUUCUGUAUACUGGAGUUUGUUAAAGAUUGACAUGUUAGGUGAUACUGUACAAAAUUGUAUUGACUACCUUUAGUGAAAAUCAAAAGUAAAAUUCAUAUGUAUUUCCUUUUUACACUUCCAUCUAAUUUCUGACAACUUGAAUAAAUUUCAUAGAGCCUUUCUAACAUGAACUAUUGUUAAUUUAACUGUUGCAAUAAUUAAGCUUUAAGAAGUAUUGUUGGUAUAUUUAUAAUUUUAAGAAGAUCAUGUUUGUUUCAUACUGCUUAUUUUUAGCUGUUCUAUUGUCACUGUUACAGCUGAAGAACUUUACUAAAUACUUGACAUUACAAAAUAACUUGCUGGGGUUGUCCUCUGUAUACUGAUGUUAAAUAAAAAUGUGUGAUUGAACUGUAAAUGUAGAUAACUUUCAAUAGUCCUUUCCACAUUUGAGUUUUAAUUUAUCUUGCAGUCCUUAGGUGGUCUUAUGCUGUCACACCGUGCUGAGCAAAUGGCCACAAUGAAACUGUUAACUUGCCAUAUUUUAAAGUCAGAAGUUGUUGGCAUCUGUAACUGCUCUGAGUCAAUGUUUCACUUCAUCUCAAGACGAUGCAGAUGUUUUAAUGUUUAAAUCUUGCUGAUAAGGUCAUGUCUUAUGAUAGCUAUUUUUUUAGGACUAGAGUAACAUGUAACAGAAUACUUACCAAACCACUUUUCGAACUUGUUUAAACUCAGAUUCAGUAGAACACAGACACGCACGUGUUCAGAUUCUCUCUGCCUCUCAGGCAGGAGCUGGGGCAGAGUUGUCAUUCCUUCUAGGACUCUACAGGAGCUCUUUCCUCUAAGGACUCUGAUGCAGGCUUUGUUCUUGAUUCCAGCUUUAGAUCUUGGUGUUUACCUAAUGCAUGCUGAAUUUACAGCCCCGAGGAUGUGGCUCAUAGAGCUGAUUCAAGCGAACAGAAGUAAACUAGUAUAAAGCUUUGGCUGCAAAAUUUCUUGGAGUCAAUUUCGGCGAAGACUUAAGAUAUUCUCCUUCCACCUGAGGGACUAGGGAUUGUGUCACCCUUGCAGCAGUGGUUCUGUGUUAACCGGUGAAAGAGCCACACAAAUGAUAUUUACUAAAGUGUUUCAAAGGAAUUUUUCAGGGUUUCCAGUGUAAAAGUGAGUUACUUUGGGCCCAGACUGACAGGGAGGAGUGUUGUUUGUCUCUUAUGUAAAAAUACUCUGUAGACUAAAGCUGAGGGAAUCAUCUUUCUUAGGUGAACUUGAGAGCUCUGUGGUACUUCAGAAGGUAUUGAUUGACCACUGUGAUGAUCUAAACAUAGAACAUAAAUGUAUAUUUAAGAACAGGUGCCAGUAUAGGAACAAAAUGAAAUCUGCUUGAAAGCUUCUGGGAACAUCCAGUUACAUCAAAUGAUGCAAGAACUGCUUGGUCAAACCAGUUUCUCUGAAGUCAGUGUGAGCCUGAAACAAAACCACCUUCCACAGGGUUUGUGGUCAGAGAAGAUUUGGCAAAAAGAUGUCUUGGAACAUGAAGGCGUCAUCUUGCUUGUCUUUAAUAGUGUUGCACAAACUUCUCAAGGAAAUAACUUGUAUGAUCAUGUUAUUUUCUGGGUUUUUAAGCUGGAUUUUAGGUAGCUGCUGGUCAACCUUAUCAAAUUCAUUUGCCUCUUUUCUUCUGCUGAGACCACAUUCACUUUACAGCUAAACCCAGAUGGGGUUGCCUUAAGCCAUAUGUUUUUCCCUGAGGUUUUCCCUGGUUUAUCUCAAUUUUGUUAUUUUCUAAUCUGAAAAUUUUACACCUUACUGACUUUUGUAGCUUGAGGAAACUAGAGAAACUGUUCCUGAGCAUGUGAGCCUCUACUACCUAAGUGAAGCUUAAGGUCCUGUUGUUCUGGGCAGGUCAGAUCUCUGCUGGCAAAAGCCUUUUUUUGCCUUUCCCAGCGCACAAGUAGUUGCAUCUUAACCUUUUUGUUUUCCUCUUGGACGUGCCUAUCUUCCGUUCACCAACCAUACAUUAUUCUUGAUGUCAUCUUGCCUAAUACCACUGGACAGAUUUUUAGUUAGUCUGCUUGUUUUCUACCAGCCUUGACUUUGCUUUUUGUUGACAAUGAAUAAAAUGGUGAUACAGGUCUGUUAGGAAAAAACCUCUUUUAUGUACACAGAAGAGGAGUUGCAAGUGAAACCUCGAAGCCACUACAGGCUUUUAUAAGGUCGGGUGUCAAAUGGUUUAAGCAUUUAUACUUUUCUGUAAUGCUGUUAGAGCAAAGGACAAAAGGCAAAUGGAAGACAAACAAUAAAUUUAAAAUUCCUUUUAGUGAACGCACAAACUGCGUAAAGAAGGGUAUCAACUUUGCUGAUACAUAAAUCCCAUACAAACUAUUUCUAGCAUGUUAUGUGAAUGUUCAUCAUGUGCUUUCCUGAGCAUUCUCAGUUAAGCAGUUUUAUCUCCAUUAGAGAUUAACAUCUGAUUUAGUGAGUAUAUACAGUUCAGAGACUUAUUCAAAUGAAUCAGCAUUUAUUUAACAAGAAACUGUUGGAGAAUUUGUUCGUGCAAAACUUAAAACCAGUUCAGCUGAUUUGACUACAGAAUUUUACACAAAUGUGAGAAAUCUCAUUCUGUUUUUGGCAUAUUAUUGCUCAAAUACUGUAAUGGAUGUGGGCUCUUUUGUCAAGCAAAGGUCUCAGUCAAGAUUACUUUGCUAAACAAAAGAAGAAUAAACUACCCAUGGAAUAUUUUUCAAAUAAUAAAUUCCCAUUAUUUCAAAUACUGGCAAUAGAAAUGGUUUAACAAGUCAGUGCCCAUUUUUGUAUGGGCAUUUGUUAAUUCAGCCAUAUUUUAAUUGGUUUAAUUGCAUUAGUGAAGUGUUCUAUGAGACUUUUUUUUUUACAUUGGAUUGUUUGUUGCAUUGAACCCUUCGUUUUUACUACCUUUCAAUUUCAAAACAGAAAGUAGAAAGAGGAGCAGUUUGACAUCCAGCACAUUCCUGAGAGCCAGGGGAGCUGUUUCCCUGAAGUGUUUCCCUGCUCCUGUCCAGGGCAGAGGGAGCGUGUGCCGAGAGCCUCGUGAAGGAGCAGGGAGCACAUGCACUUCCUGUAUCCCGCUCCUGUGUCCAAACUGGCCGUUUAUGAUCGCACCUUUGGCUCCAAUUAAAUCUCUUCUAAUUUAAAUGAAGAAAAUAUUAACUCAGGAGUUACUGUUGACUUUUUUCCUACUUAGAAGUAUCAUAGUAUCUUCCUGGGUUUUUGUUUUUAAUGCAGCAAUUACACACUGAUCUUUCAUAGAAUUAGUUUCUGCUGUGAAACCUUAUGUUUCAUGUCUUUCGAAAAAAAGCCAGACUUUCAUCUGGAGUGUAUGUGGAAUUUUUAAAAAAAUACCUACCCAUGUAGUCUCCUGAAUGGGGAGGAGGGUUUGUCUUUGCUGCAGGUCCUCAGACCACAGCUCUGAGUGCCCUGAACCUCGGGUGCAAAUGACCCUCCCGAUCCUGUUUGUUGGGGCUUUUCAUUCCUACCCACACAAGCGUGUUUUUACCAGGUAUGCAAAGUCCUGUGUGUUUCAGGAAGUCAGAGAAUGUAUGGACAAACAUGGAUAGCCCCAGCAGCUACUGCUGACACAGCCUCUGUUCAGUACUCAGCGCUAAUUGACUGAGGAAAAUUGACACCAUCCUCUGAAAGCUGCAUCUGUCAUUUGUCAUCCGCAGUGUCCAUUAAGAUGGCACAUGGGGUAGCGCCCACUUGGAGGACCCUUCGAGGUUGAGAUGAACAUUGUUUUAUCAAAUUCCUGCCUUGUAUCUCAUAACUCUUCCAUUUCCCACCCCCUGCUAGAUCCACAGGCUGACAGACUAUUACUACAACACUACAUUUAUUUCCAAAACCUUUUUGAGCAGUCUCUUAAUUUAUCUGUGCUGCUUUCUCAGUGGGCUAUGUUUGUCCCAGAGCCUGAAGCUGCUGCACUGCCCGGCAGAGCUGUGGCUGCCAUGGCUCUGCUCUUCCAUGUUCCUGUCACAGCUGUUCAAUGGGGCAGCUUGGCUGUUGCCCCAGUAAGUUGCUGCAGCUUCUGUUCCAUCUUUUCCCACCUCGUUGACCAGACUGGGUGGUUCCAUCACAGCAGGCACUGUGCUCUUGUGGCUUUAUUCUUUAGUUACAGGCAGGAGCUUUUUAUAUUUUUUCAUAACCUUACCCAUCGUAUUAUUCCAGAGAACACAAUUACAACUGUUCUAGUCCCAUACCCUUUGUAUUACAGACCAGACUCUUAUAGGGGAACUUUUGUAGCAAAAGAAUAAUUUUAUUUGAGCCCUCACUUGCUUUUCUAACAUUGUUUUUAAAGUUUCCUGUUACACCUGACAUAACUUCUUUCAUAGCCUUGCUUGGCUCUGGUAUAAUGGCAAAAUUCUGUACAAUCUUUGUUGUUUCUCAGGAUACAUGAAGAGCUUUCACCAUUUUGGUGAAACUUCUGUGCCUAAAAACCAAAUUCAUAUUCUUGCUUUUCUUAUAUGAACAUAUGUCUUUUGAAAUGAAGUACUUGGAAAUGCUCAUAGACUUUCUGGUCUCUCCAGUGGGAGUGAAGUUCUGAAUGGCCAUUGUAGUCUGGUCCCAAAUUUUAAGGCAGGACUUGCAAAGUUUUUGUCCAUCAGCAGGAGCAGGAGGAUAUUAAUCUUGAGAUCAUUUCCACAGCAGUGUUCCUCUGGCUUGCCUGCUCAGAGUUGCAGAAUUAAUUCAGAGCAAGGACUGAAAUAGUGGGAGUUCCUAGGACUCACUCAAAGCCAUCUGCACUGCUGCUCUUUAAAGCAGGGAGCAUUCGUGGCCUGGGAGAUGAAACCAGGACUGACUCCAUGUUCCUGCAUUUGGAAUUUGAAUUCCAGGGUGGCUGGUAGUUAUGGAGAAUAAGGCACUGUAUUGAAUUCAGUAUGUGCUGCCAGUUUCUAGAGGAAUUCUAGGAAAAUGAAUGACUCUUCCUUUUGUUUCCCAAAAACUAGUUGUGUUACAGCAUAAAUCCAAUACUAGGAUAGUGGUUAUUUCUCCCUCUCUCUAGUGUGGUUAUGAGCCUGUUGAAAAAGACUUGAUAUCAUGCCAUCCCUAGUGCUUCCUGUGUGCUUAUAAAGCACAUAUUUGCAUAUGAAUGGUUUGGAUUGCUGAUUUAUUAAAGACUGAAAAUAAUACCUUUGGACGUCUUUUUCCAGGGUACUUGAAAGUUGUUUAGUGGAUGUAAUCUUCUGGCAAGAAAGACCUUCCAGUUGCUGCUGGAUUUAAUAGACUUGUGAAGAAUGCUUCAGUAAUGAACUAGAGAGUUCUGAUUCAUCCUCAUCACUUUCCAACAAAACUUCCUUGGUAAAAAAUUUCAUAAGUGCUUCAGUGGCUUGUUUGCUCUAAAGUUCUGCCUUCUUUCACCAUCUAGUCCUUAACUAAUAACUAAGAAGCUUCUUGUUCUCAUUAAAUAUGCAGUAUCUUUGCACAGCCUGAAUGUCAAGUGCAAAAAACAACCCACUUCAGUCUACCUCAGCAGUUUGAGAAUCACAAAACCCCUGCAUAAACCUGAGUACAAAUAAAAGUGAGUGUCCAAGUUCCUUCAGGUGAGAUCUAUGGAGGGCACUAAAUUAAGUGCCACAUCCUUUAUUAGAAAUACAUGUUUAUUAUAAAUAUGGAAUGUAUGCACAUGUACACAGAUCCAGAGUCUGCUAUAAAUCCAGCAAACUAUCCAGGUUCAUAACGUGUCUGAACUGGUAGAUCAGAUGGUUUUUUAAAAGGAAGGGCUUUGGUUUUAGUAGAAACUUGAUGACUUGAAUCCAGCCAGUCUGGCCCUCUUUCAACCUCUUCCAUCAGUCAUGGCCUCUCAUUUCUUGCAUCCAAGCAUGAAAGAGCUCCUGUAGAUUCUGAAGAUGGGACAUAAUUCUAACUUGAAUGCUAAUUGCUGCCUGAGCUUGUCUAGUUUGAUGGAUCUGAGUCCCGGGAUCCUCAUUUUGAGGUAAGGACCUAAGAUGGGAGCUGCUUAGGGGAGUUGCUGAAAGUGCAUUUAUGCCUACAUGGUGAGGAGUUGCAUGGGGAUAGUCUCUGGUGUGCUUCCAGCUGCCAGUGCUCCUCAGCCUGCUGGCACUCGUUAGAACUAAAUAAUGACCUUGAAAGAAUGCUAAAUUGUAUUUUGAUAUUAAGCUUUUCCUAAAUAAGUCUGAUAAACAGUUACUUCUACAUGAAUGAUUAAAAAGGGGCUACUGUGCACAAAUCUGAAAUGUGGUCUGUCCAUUGGUAUCCACAGGUCUAUCCAUAGGUGUAGUUGCCUUAAUCCAGAGCAGUAGCCCCUGCGUAGCGAGGGGGCCGCGCAGUCGCGGGGCUGUGUCUGAAGUGGAACAGGUCUCUCUUGAUUUGAAUGGCAGGGUGGGUAAAGCAGCUGGUAAAAAGCUUUCCUGAAUGUGAGCUUGAAUUGUCAUGGGAAACUUUUACUGAGCUCUUGUCAGUGUUCCAUUCUCUUUUAAAAUCACCAAAACAAAUAUUUGGUUAGAUUAUGUAUUUUUCUAUUCAAAGCUCGUAAUACUCGAUCACAUAAAAGAGAUGGAGCGUUUCCCUGUCCGGUCAGGUGUCAAACUUGUUGAUAGUGGAAUAGGUUUGUUUGUCACUGCCCUAAUAAAAUGCUGAUCACUUUUUUGGUGUAUGAUUUUUAAAGUUUCACAGUUCACAAUGACUCAAAAGUGCAAGGUAGAUUAAACCAAAUGCUGGGAUCAGAUCCUUUCCGUGUCCUAAACGCACACGUUUUGUUCCCGACUGAGAGCUCUUUGUGUGCUGCUUGGCUGAGACCGUGGUGGCUUAGAGCCUGUGUAGAAGAAGGUGCUGAUGUCUGGAGUAAGCAAGUGGUGGUAAAAAUAAAUUGUACUCAUUGUAGGUUCAGGUUAAGAACUUUAUAAAAUUCAUGUCAGGUUCUCUUGCUGGAUUAAUGUAAACUGCUUUGUUUGCAGGGUUUAUUGUCAUCCCAAAACCAGGCCAAUUCUCCAAGUGGAACUGUAGUAUAGCCAUCACACUACUGCUAGCAAAUCUCUGAACGCAGGACAAGAAGUAAUGACAGUGGAACCAGGAGCUGUUCUUCAGGCAAAGAGCAUCACAAAUUUUAAUGUGGCAGAGUGUAAACAUGGAAUUAUGUGAAUCACAUAGUGACUUGCAAAGGACAAAUGCAAUGGGUUCUCACUACAGCUGAUCCUGGUAGGCUGCUCACCCAAGGAAGAGUUUGCAUUGGAGAAAAAGCAAAAAGCUUCCUUUGGUGCUGCAGGAAAAAGUAGUAACAUAUUUGGUUUUCUUUAUACUUUUCAAGUCCAGUGUAAUUUAAUCUCUCUAUAUAAAUAUAUAAAUAAAAGAUAUAUAUAUAUAUAUAGUGUAAAAUAAGAUAUGUUUCUUAAAUUCAAGUAAGUUCAAUGGUUAAACUAGUACUUCACCAUUGUUUAUUUUGCACUGAUUUUUUUAACCAGAGAUGGCUAGAAGACAGCCUGGAAUGCACUCAUGGAAAAUGAAAGUCAUUACUUUCUGGCUUCAAAAUGUUAUUCAGGAAGAUGGAUGCUGCAAUCAUAGAUUUUUUUAAAACAAAAUUGUUUUGCACUUAAAUAGUUUAAUGCUAAUAGAGAAUUACUUUAAAAUUGGUGUUCAGACACCAGAAAAACUAUGUUGUGGAGAAAAGAUCCUUUGUAUCUAUUAAACAUUUAUUUUAAUAUUGUUGUUUUCAACGGCAAUCGGCUCUGUAUUAUAUGUAUAAAUAAUGUAAUUCAGUGAUGGGGGAGGGGAGUAACGGAUCAUUACACUAGAGAUUCUCAUUCAUUUAAGAAAGUGAUAUUUCUAAUUCAGAAAAUACAUAUUAAACUAUCUUGAAUAUGCAUUUUUGUUUACUUUCUGUUCAAAUUCGAUCACUUUUGAUGUAACCAAUCCUUUGUUGAAUUAAAUGUUUGGUACAGAAAUACUA